RNAcentral lists this ribosomal RNA (251 nucleotides) under uncultured bacterium. RNAcentral's name for it is "partial 16S ribosomal RNA". It matches the Rfam family "Bacterial small subunit ribosomal RNA", at positions 524 to 776 of the family's 1533-position model. The record is from RNAcentral.
GACGGGGGGGGCAAGUGUUCUUCGGAAUGACUGGGCGUAAAGGGCACGUAGGCGGUGAAUCGGGUUGAAAGUGAGAGUCGCCAAAAAGUGGCGGAAUGCUCUCGAAACCAAUUCACUUGAGUGAGACAGAGGAGAGUGGAAUUUCGUGUGUAGGGGUGAAAUCCGUAAAUAUACGAAGGAACGCCAAAAGCGAAGGCAGCUCUCUGGGUCCCUACCGACGCUGGGGUGCGAAAGCGUGGGGAGCGAACAGG